CGGGGCGUGGCGCAGAUGGGAGCGCGCAGCGUUCGGGACGCUGAGGUCGGAGGUUCAAAUCCUCUCGCCCCGACCA
RNAcentral lists this transfer RNA (76 nucleotides) under Chloroflexota bacterium. RNAcentral's name for it is "tRNA-Pro". It matches the Rfam family "tRNA". Rfam says of the family: Transfer RNA (tRNA) molecules are approximately 80 nucleotides in length. Their secondary structure includes four short double-helical elements and three loops (D, anti-codon, and T loops). RNAcentral also lists the same sequence under 2 other names. Lineage: Bacteria; Bacillati; Chloroflexota. The record is from RNAcentral.